This 496-nucleotide ribosomal RNA is filed under the name uncultured bacterium. RNAcentral's name for it is "partial 16S ribosomal RNA". It matches the Rfam family "Bacterial small subunit ribosomal RNA", at positions 28 to 506 of the family's 1533-position model. The record is from RNAcentral.
GAUGAACGCUGGCGGCGUGCCUAAUACAUGCAAGUCGAGCGAACGGACGAGAAGCUUGCUUCUCUGAUGUUAGCGGCGGACGGGUGAGUAACACGUGGAUAACCUACCUAUAAGACUGGGAUAACUUCGGGAAACCGGAGCUAAUACCGGAUGAUAUUUUGAACCGCAUGGUUCAGAAGUGAAAGACGGUCUUGCUGUCACUUAUAGAUGGAUCCGCGCUGCAUUAGCUAGUUGGUAAGGUAACGGCUUACCAAGGCAACGAUGCAUAGCCGACCUGAGAGGGUGAUCGGCCACACUGGAACUGAGACACGGUCCAGACUCCUACGGGAGGCAGCAGUAGGGAAUCUUCCGCAAUGGGCGAAAGCCUGACGGAGCAACGCCGCGUGAGUGAUGAAGGUCUUCGGAUCGUAAAACUCUGUUAUUAGGGAAGAACAUAUGUGUAAGUAACUGUGCACAUCUUGACGGUACCUAAGCAGAAAGCCACGGCUAACUACGU